GACGAACGCUGGCGGCGUGCCUAAUACAUGCAAGUCGAGCGGAGUGUGAAAGGAAGCUUGCUUCCUUUCAGACUUAGCGGCGGACGGGUGAGUAACACGUAGGCAACCUGCCCUCAGGCCUGGGAUAACUACCGGAAACGGUAGCUAAUACCGGAUAAUUUCUUUUUUCUCCUGAGGAGAGAAUGAAAGGCGGAGCAAUCUGCUGCUUCAGGAUGGACUCGCGUCCAAUUAGCUAGUUGGUGAGGUAACGGCCCACCAAGGCGACGAUCGGUAGCCGGACUGAGAGGUUGAACGGCCACAUUGGGACUGAGACACGGCCCAG
Molecule: ribosomal RNA, 322 nt
Filed under: uncultured bacterium
Lineage: Bacteria
Description: bacterial SSU rRNA
Rfam family: Bacterial small subunit ribosomal RNA
Source: RNAcentral